Ornithodoros turicata is the source of this 315-nucleotide long non-coding RNA. RefSeq lists it as uncharacterized. Lineage: Eukaryota; Metazoa; Arthropoda; Arachnida; Ixodida; Argasidae. The record is from RefSeq and is a predicted model, not a curated record. The transcript has 3 exons.
GGAAAAAUGAGAGCCUGAAAAGAAAACUGGAGGCAGCUGAGAAAGCAUCGACAACUGCCAAGAUGAUAAAACGAUUGGAAAAAAUGCUCAACACUGCAAACAAGCAGGAAAGCAUAAACAGCGUGGAGUGUCCAAAGGUUGACAUCGGCUCAGGUGUCCUUGUAGACUCAACUGUGCUCCAACGACUGGAGAGAUCUUGCCAGGGGCAGGAAAGUUUGCUCGGUCUCUUUUGCGUCACCUGUUCACAGACGACGAGUUGCGUGCAAAGUCGCUCUUUGGUGUAAGAACCAACUUGCAAAAACAUAAGGAACCAAA